UACAGAGGUCCCAAGCGUUGUUCGGAUUUACUGGGCGUAAAGGGUGCGUAGGUGGCCGGUUAAGUCUGACGUGAAAUCUCCGAGCCUAACUCGGAAACUGCGUCGGAAACUAUCCGGCUCGAGGGUUGGAGGGGGGACUGGAAUACUUGGUGUAGCAGUGAAAUGCGUAGAUAUCAAGUGGAACACCAGUGGCGAAGGCGAGUCCCUGGACAACUCCUGACACUGAGGCACGAAAGCUAGGGGAGCAAACAGG
RNAcentral lists this ribosomal RNA (253 nucleotides) under uncultured bacterium. RNAcentral's name for it is "partial 16S ribosomal RNA". It matches the Rfam family "Bacterial small subunit ribosomal RNA", at positions 524 to 776 of the family's 1533-position model. The record is from RNAcentral.